Molecule: long non-coding RNA, 3517 nt
Organism: Equus caballus (horse)
Lineage: Eukaryota; Metazoa; Chordata; Mammalia; Perissodactyla; Equidae
Source: Ensembl
GGGAGGGAGACCAGAGGAAGGAGGUGGCUUCUCCUUCACCCGCGUCCUCAGGUCCCCCUGUACACCACGUGGGUGGGAGCGUGUCUUACACAUCCACGCGCCCACAGCCACCUUCACCGCGCUCCUGCCUGGACCGGGUCCAUCUCCGCGCCUGUGGGCGCCAGGCCUCCACGGGCCACGUCGCCGCCACCUGCUGCUGCAUCCCCAGUGAGAGGGAAGGAGCAUCUCCGUGCUUCCCCUCAUCCGCCUCCACCCAGCCCAAGCCCUCUCAUCCUCCGGGGUAAGGCUGAAGCCACGUCUUCCCCGGGCCCCCUCCCCAGCGCAGAGUGGAAGGGAGAGGGAGGAGCUCCGGCCGCAGCCGCCCGCCCUCCUCGCUCCGGAGCUCCCCCUGCCCUCCCCUCCCUUCCCCUCCCCUCCCCUCGGCUGCCGCAGCCCCGCUAGUCGCGCGCGUCAGCGUGGGCUCCCCGGAGCGAGUCGCUAGGUAACGGGGCUGGCUCCGCAGACCCGGGGCCGGGGAAGCCCGCGCGCGUCGUCAGCAGCGGCGCAGCGGGGCGGGGGCAGAGGGCGCACGGACCCUCUUCAUCCGGGCUUGCGGACCCUGGCUCGCACGCAGCCCCCUCCCAGGAUGCCUUAACCAGCGCCGAUCGCAGUCAUCCAGGUGCCCCUCCCUUGCAGGGACCCCAACGCCGCCAGCCCCUUCCUCCUUCCUAGCCGGUGCGCACUGCUCUGCGCGCAGCAGGGUGGGAGCCCCGCUGCCGCGGUCGCCGUCGCCGCCGGUCCUCCCGCCGAGCCCGGGCUCGGGGCAUGAGGAGCCCCGGGGCGCCGCCCGGAGACGAGCCGGCUGCGCGUACACUUCUCCAGCGGCGGACGGGGACAUGAGCCGCGCGUACGGGGUUCGGCGCCCGGCGGCCAGCCCCAGCCGGCGGCAGCCAGCGGGUCGGCGCUGCCCGGGAGAAUGAGGCAGGAGCUGGCGGCAGCCUAUUUCUCUUCCUCCUCCUCGCCUUUCUCCGGCUCAGGCGCCCCGGGUCCGGGCCAGGCUGUGGUUCUGCUGCGUGCCCCGCGCGCCCCCCGCCCGCCUCCGGAUGCGCUGCUCGGUUAGCCUGGGGAGGAAGAUAAAGACAUUUGCAACCAAGAUGGUAAUCACGAGUGGAAAUGACGAAGACAGAGGAGGCCAAGAAAAAGAGAGCAAAGAGGAGAGUGUCUUGGCGAUGCUGGGCAUCAUCGGGACCAUCCUGAACCUAAUCGUGAUCAUAUUUGUGUACAUAUACACCACUCUGUGAACGGCCCAGCGGGUCCGCAGAGGCCUCGGGAUGGCCAAGACGGGAGUCCUGUGUGUCGACAGAUCGGUAAGCAGACACUGUGUGAACAAGCGAGCUUGACCUACCCACGCUGCUCGAUCAAAGGCACCUUUGAACUUUAUCAAAGGUCACAAAAAUCAACCGAUCCUGCUACAAGGAGCCGACACUAAAGCACAAUGAACCCAACAGAACUCAUCCACGCAACGAGGAGCUCAGCGUCUUCGGCAGAGGGCCCGAGAGAACGCUCGGAAGACCAGCCUUGGCUGCCGUCGGAGAGCGCAUGGGUGCAGACGUUCAAGAUGCCUGGUCGCUGACGACAUCACGUAUUCAAAGAGAGGAACAGGGCAGACUCCGCUCGUCGGUGUGUCUCCCAGGACGCGCGUUUCAUCUUGACUCGAUGAGCUGUCCAGGACGAGAAACCGCAGGGGCAGUCCUUUGACAGACAUCCCAUUCAUCAAAAGUGUCUAACUAUUUGAUACCGGGGAGAUAACUUAUUUUUCUUUUUUCAUUGGCUUGACAUGUGUAUCUGUUCAUAUCAAGGUUUAUAAAUAUAUAUUUUUAAUAAAUGUGCUCUAUUUUUUAGCAUGAACCAAAUAUUUGGAGAGGCGCUCCCAGAUACAUAGAGCUUCCUUGCUUUCACUGCUCUGCCCUCUAGACUGCCGAUGUUCUGUUGUGUCGUCAUUCUAAUCCUGUUUCUCUCAUCUUUAGCCUUUGGCCUUCUCUCCCCCUCUCUUUGGUCUGGAGGACAUUUUUCCAUAAUACCAGCCAUGCUCUUGGUUGGUGCAUGUUUUAAGAUUGUCCGUCGAGCGGCUUUUUGUUGUAAUAUCGGAGAUAUAAAACGAUCGUGGGCAUGUGGACCUUAGAUGCACCGUACCCUUACUGAGAUUUAUGCAUGAACAAGGUCUGAGUGACAGAUCAGCUUUAAAAUAAUCUAAAAAGGACUGUCAUUGAGGAGGAGCGCAGCUAAGUUUGCAGAUCCGCUACGGGAUGGAAUAUUCCACUUCUUCUCCGCAGCAUAUUACUUCAUUCUUGUGACCAUUUGGCGAUCAGAUUUUGAUUUUAAUGGCCUUGUAUGGGGGGGAAGCUCAGCGUUAGAUGCAUAAUUCCUUCCUGAGCGAGCCGCCUGGGCUCCCUGGGGGGGUGUAAAUGACACGGACUCCCCACUGUUUGAGCUCACCUGGGCGUUUCAAGCUGCAAGGACACCCCCAUGACGGGUGACUUUUCAGGGGCACUGGAAGGGGACGGGGUGAUGGCCCUAAGGGAUCGCUGCACUUCCUAAAGUUCCUGGUUUACACCCACAUGCAGCUGCUUCCUCCCGGGCUGGGAUGGUGGAAUAAAUCUGAGUUUGCCCUGUUCUCCUGGCUUCCGGAGACAGGCCUUUGCUGGCUGCAGCGGCAAGGCCUUAAAAAGAGGGUCAGAAUUCCUUCUGCCAGCACCAGCCUUGCCCGUGGGCAACAGAAGCAGUGACCUGCCUGGUUGGAUUCGAAUGAUGUCCAGGAGGUCUCUGCCCCUUGAUCUCUCCCUCCUCAUGUUGUGGUGUCUGAAAUUUCACCAUUAGAGAGUCAUUUCAUGGGCUCUUCUAUGGUUUCCAGCCUCUUUUAUAAAGCAAAUGCCCCUGAGCACCUGGCUCUGACAUUGAUUCAUCAGAUGUGUUCUCUUCCCCACCCAAAGGAAGGAGGUUGGUGUCCAUUUAGGGCAUCCUGUGUGCCAGGCGCUGUGCCACACACUGUAUUCCUAAAGUCAUUAAAUUCUUGCAGUAACCUUGUGGGAUAGGGAUUCUGUUCCCCACGUUGUAGAAGAAGAAAGUAGGACUCAGCGAGAUCAGGAAUCUUCCCUGGGAUCACGUGGUGAGUCGGGACUCUAACCCCUCAUCUGCCUGAUUUCCUCGCCCAUUGAGGGCCUGGAGGCUGCUGGGAAGAGAAGGGGUGACUUCACAGGAAACGGUCCUGGGGGUCAGGACAGAAACCCAAUGGCUUUGCUGAGGGCCAGCUCAGUAUCCCUCCCUCUGCACCCCCAUAAUAAUAAGCACCCCCUGGGAACUCCUUGACCGCUGGCAGAAUAGCAUACAGAUAAGGACCAGGGACGAGAGGAGGCGGUUAGAGAGAAAAUGGAAUGUCGGGGGAGGCAGCUGUCUCACAGGCUCUGUGUGGUUCUAGAAAGACUGUAUGAAAAUUCUGAACAGUAAACAGAGUAAACAAUAAAGGUGCAAUGAAAAACAC